GAUGAACGCUGGCGGCGUGCCUAAUACAUGCAAGUCGAGCGAACAGACGAGGAGCUUGCGCCUCUGACGUUAGCGGCGGACGGGUGAGUAACACGUGGAUAACCUACCUAUAAGACUGGGAUAACAUCGGGAAACCGGAGCUAAUACCGGAUAAUAUAUUGAACCGCAUGGUUCAAUAGUGAAAGACGGUUUUGCUGUCACUUAUAGAUGGAUCCGCGCCGCAUUAGCUAGUUGGUAAGGUAACGGCUUACCAAGGCAACGAUGCGUAGCCGACCUGAGAGGGUGAUCGGCCACACUGGAACUGAGACACGGUCCAGACUCCUACGGGAGGCAGCAGUAGGGAAUCUUCCGCAAUGGGCGAAAGCUUGACGCAGCAACGCCGCGUGAGUGAUGAAGGUCUUCGGGUCGUAAAACUCUGUUAUUAGGGAAGAACAAAUGUGUAAGUAACUAUGCACGUCUUGACGGUACCUAAUCAGAAAGCCACGGCUAACUACGUG
This 497-nucleotide ribosomal RNA is filed under the name uncultured bacterium. Its description in RNAcentral is "partial 16S ribosomal RNA". It matches the Rfam family "Bacterial small subunit ribosomal RNA", at positions 28 to 507 of the family's 1533-position model. The record is from RNAcentral.